CAUAAAAUGACUCUCGGCAACGGAUAUCUCGGCUCUCGCAUCGAUGAAGAACGUAGCGAAAUGCGAUACUUGGUGUGAAUUGCAGAAUCCCGUGAACCAUCGAGUCUUUGAACGCAAGUUGCGCCCGAAACCAUUAGGUUGAGGGCACGUCUGCCUGGGUGUCACG
This 166-nucleotide ribosomal RNA is filed under the name Tripodion tetraphyllum. Its description in RNAcentral is "5.8S ribosomal RNA". It matches the Rfam family "5.8S ribosomal RNA". From Rfam's summary of the family: 5.8S ribosomal RNA (5.8S rRNA) is a component of the large subunit of the eukaryotic ribosome. Lineage: Eukaryota; Viridiplantae; Streptophyta; Magnoliopsida; Fabales; Fabaceae. The record is from RNAcentral.